AGAGUUUGAUCAUGGCUCAGGAUGAACGCUAGCUACAGGCUUAACACAUGCAAGUCGAGGGGAAACGACAUCGAAAGCUUGCUUUUGAUGGGCGUCGACCGGCGCACGGGUGAGUAACGCGUAUCCAACCUGCCCACCACUUGGGGAUAACCUUGCGAAAGUAAGACUAAUACCCAAUGACGUCUCUAGAAGACAUCUGAAAGAGAUUAAAGAUUUAUCGGUGAUGGAUGGGGAUGCGUCUGAUUAGCUUGUUGGCGGGGUAACGGCCACCAAGGCGACGAUCAGUAGGGGUUCUGGAGAGGAACGGUCCCCACAUUGGAACUGAGACACGGUCCAACUCCUACGAGAGGCA
This 352-nucleotide ribosomal RNA is filed under the name uncultured bacterium. RNAcentral's name for it is "bacterial SSU rRNA". It matches the Rfam family "Bacterial small subunit ribosomal RNA", at positions 8 to 350 of the family's 1533-position model. The record is from RNAcentral.